UAGGUGGCAAGCGUUGUCCGGAUUUACUGGGUGUAAAGGGCGUGCAGCCGGGAGUGCAAGUCAGGUGUGAAAUCCAUGGGCUCAACCCAUGAACUGCAUUUGAAACUGUACUUCUUGAGUACUGGAGAGGCAAUCGGAAUUCCUAGUGUAGCGGUGAAAUGCGUAGAUAUUAGGAGGAACACCAGUGGCGAAGGCGGAUUGCUGGACAGCAACUGACGGUGAGGCGCGAAAGUGUGGGGAGCAAA
This 245-nucleotide ribosomal RNA is filed under the name uncultured bacterium. Its description in RNAcentral is "partial 16S ribosomal RNA". It matches the Rfam family "Bacterial small subunit ribosomal RNA", at positions 528 to 772 of the family's 1533-position model. The record is from RNAcentral.